Molecule: long non-coding RNA, 2998 nt
Organism: Oncorhynchus tshawytscha (Chinook salmon)
Lineage: Eukaryota; Metazoa; Chordata; Actinopteri; Salmoniformes; Salmonidae
Source: Ensembl
UCAACCAUGAGAGACCAUAACAUCACAGUCCAAACAGAGUACAUACCAUCAUGAUUUGUUGAGCCACACCCAUCAUCCUCAGGCUGCCGUUUCAGCUCCAUCUCUGUCAGUGGUGUAGCUGUUAGGAUAACAGAACAAGUAUAUUUCAGUGUAAAACAGUCUUGUAUUAGCUGAAGUACAGAAUCAUUGUGAUAGCUACGAGUGUUCCAGGUUGAAUGAACAGUUCAGUGUAAAACUGUCUUGUAUUAGCUGAAGUACAGAAUCAUUGUGAUAGCUACGAGUGUUCCAGGUUGACUGAACAGUUCAGUCUGCUACAUCCUUCUCAAACAGUUCAUGGUUAUGAUAUUUCAGUUCAGUGUGGAACAGUCUUGUAUUAGCUGAAGUACAGAAUCAUUGUGAUAGCUACGAGUGUUCCAGGUUGACUGAGCAGUUCAGUCUGCUACAUCCUUCUCAAACAGUUCAUGUAUAUGAGGUUUCAUUAUAUAAUAUAAGAUAUUAAAACCAAAUAUUGAGUUUUACCUUCAGUCAUGGUUCUGUCCCUCUUUGCCAAUUUUUUGUCAAAUGUCACCAGCUCUUUCAGGUCCUCUGCCUGCGUUGAACCAGCUCUUUCAGCUCCUCUGCCUGCGUUGAACCAGCUCUUUCAGGUCCUCUGCCUGCGUUGAACCAGCUCUUUCAGGUCCCCUGCCUGCGUUGAACCAGCUCUUUCAGCUCCUCUGCCUGCGUUGAACCAGCUCUUUCAGCUCCUCUGCCUGCAUUGAACCAGCUCUUUCAGCUCCCUCUGCCUGCCUUGAACCAGCUCUUUCAGGUCCCCUGCCUGCGUUGAACCAGCUCUUUCAGGUCCCCUGCCUGCGUUGAACCAGCUCUUUCAGGUCCUCUGCCUGUGUUGAACCAGCUCUUUCAGGUCCUCUGCCUGCGUUGAACCAGCUCUUUCAGCUCCUCUGCCUGCGUUGAACCAGCAGUCUGAGUACUGAAGUUUUCUCACAAACAAAGAAAGGAAUAUCCUGUGCAUCUGGCAGAAUGGAGGGGAGGUUCCUGCUUCCCUGGAUUGUCUACAGUUCUGACAAACAUGGCCUGUGUCCCAAACGGUACCUUAUUCCCUUUAUAGUCUGCUACUGUAGAGCAGGGCCCUAGUGCACUAUAUAGGAAACAGAGUGCCAUUUGGGAUGAACACGUGGACUGUUUCUCGAAACUUCCCCUACCCUCUGCAUCCCCUAGCUCCAAUCCCCCAGGGACUGGAGUAGAUCUGAAAGGCUUGGGUAGGUAUCAGCAGUAUGGUGGAUGUUCCACCUAACCUAUCAGAAGGCAAGGUAGAGUCACUACCAUGUUGCUUAUACCUGUCCAACUCCUCCAGAUCUACAGGAAGUAUGUAGGCUGAAGUAAUGAGGCUAGGGGUUGGUUGUAAGGACCAGGCUAGAGAUCAGGCUAGGGGUUGGUUGUAAGGGGCCAGGCUCUAGGGACCAGGCUAAGGGGCCAUGCCAAGGCAAGGCUAAGGGAGUGGAGACCCAAGAGGGUGGGUAGUGAUAAUGUAGGCCAAGUUCUGAAGAAUGAAUGACAGAUUUUAAUACAUAUAGAGUUGAUUCAACCACGUACAACAAUGCAUAUAGCUGUAGGAUCUUAAUUUAAUCACUGUUUUGUUGCUGAGAAUUUUCCUGCUUUGUGAUUAACAUAAAUGAACUGAAAACCCACACUAACAUGUGAUCAUAUUAACACUAUUUUACAGUACUGCAGUACUUUAGUCCAGCUAAUAGCCUAACCACCGAUCAAGCAACAUUAUCGACAAGGGGAUGGUCAUCUGAAUGUGGUUAGGAGACUCAACAUUGAUGAGAAGAGGUCAUCUGAAUGUGGUUAGGAGACUCAACAUUGAUGAGAAGAGGUCAUCUGAAUGUGGUUAGGAGACUCAACAUUGAUGAGAAGAGGUCAUCUGAAUGUGGUUAGGAGACUCAACAUUGAUGAGAAGAGGUCAUCUGAAUGUGGUUAGGAGACUCAACAUUGAUGAGAAGAGGUCAUCUGAAUGUGGUUAGGAGACUCAACAUUGAUGAGAAGAGGUGAACUGAACAUGGUUAGGAGACUCAACAUUGAUGAGAAGAGGUGAACUGAACAUGGUUAGGAGACUCAACAUUGAUGAGAAGAGGUGAACUGAACAUGGUUAGGAGACUCAACAUUGAUGAGAAGAGGUGAACUGAACAUGGUUAGGAGACUCAACAUUGAUGAGAAGAGGUGAACUGAACAUGGUUAGGAGACUCAACAUUGAUGAGAAGAGGUCAUCUGAACAUGGUUAGGAGACUCAACAUUAAUGCCAUAGUCACUGAGGAUAAUAAAUCAAUAUUAGACUUCACUGCAAACGUUUAGAAGAAUUGAUACUAAUAUGACUCUUGCCUGAUUUAAUUCAAAUCAAUUAUUCAGCUCCAUUCCUGAUGGCAAUUCUGUUGAUGAGGAAUUCAAUAAUGUUUGCUGCGAAGAUUUGACCACAAAGGAGAUCAGAUUUGAUAUCAUACAGUUAAAAAAUACCACAUCCCCUGGUACUGAUGGGCAAACCUCUAAUUCUUACUUGCCACAUUUAAGAAAGCCAUCGAAAAACGAGAGCUUCCAGCGUCAUUAAAAUAAGGUGUUAUAACUCUUAUCCCUAAAACACAUGAGGAUACAUUCUUUCUUGAUACUUGAAGCCCAAUUACACUCAAAAACAAAGAUAAUAUACUAGCUUCCAUUCUAGCAAAAUGCAAGAUAUCUGGAUUUUUGAAAGAGCGUCAAACUUGAUGGAAUAUAACGAUUAAUUAGAUGACAACCCUGUAAUUCUAUUAUUGGAUUUCAAAAAUGCAUUUGAUACUGUUAGUCAUCAUGAGUACAUUUUUUAAACAUUGGGACGCAGGCCAUUUUUUAAACAAAGACCAGACAUACGCUCUACAGUGAAUUUUAAGACCACACAUACGCUCUACAGUGAACUCUAAAAGACCACACAUACGCUCUACAGUGAACUCUAAAAGACCACACAUACGCUCUA